CACCUCUCGGGAUGGCGUCUGGAGAGUUUCCAAUACUCUUUCAGUCUCAACUAUGAGAGGGAGAGACAAGCAGAGGCAUACCUAGUCCAUUCCUAGCUCGGGCAGUGACUAGUAAGUGGAAGGCAAUCUGCUACAAGU
Non-coding RNA from Ornithorhynchus anatinus (platypus), 138 nucleotides. The record is from Rfam. NCBI's taxonomy places the organism in Eukaryota, Metazoa, Chordata, Mammalia, Monotremata, Ornithorhynchidae.